GUCUGUAUGAGAGUUAUAUAAAGUCUGGCCUGCCCAUUGGGGUACUAAAAGGCCGCGGUAUUGUGACCGUGCGAAGGUAGCAUAAUCAUUAGUCUUUUAAUUGGAGGCUGGUAUGAAUGGUCGGACGAGAAGUAAGCUGUCUUUAUCUCAUAGAUUGAAUUUAACUUUUAAGUGAAAAGGCUUAAAUGGGUUAGAGGGACGAUAAGACCCUAUAAAGUUUAUACAUGGAGUUAAUCAAGAGUGAUUUGGAAUAGUAAAGUUCAUUAUUAGCAAGAUGUUUAGUUGGGGUGACUAGAAUAUAAGUUAUAUAACUGUUUUUUGUUUUAAUCAGAGAUAUCUGUUUAUAUGAUCCCUUUUUAGGAUUAGAGAGUAAAUUACUUUAGGGAUAACAGCGUAAUUUUUUUUAAGAGUUCUUAUCGACAAAAGAGUUUGCGACCUCGAUGUUGAAUUAAAAAUUUCUUUGUGGCGUAGCAGUUACAAGAGAAGGUCUGUUCGACCUUUAAAUUUUUACAUGAUUUGAGUUC
This 524-nucleotide ribosomal RNA is filed under the name Cherax communis. RNAcentral describes it as "partial 16S ribosomal RNA". It matches the Rfam family "Bacterial large subunit ribosomal RNA", at positions 1829 to 2612 of the family's 2925-position model. The record is from RNAcentral. Lineage: Eukaryota; Metazoa; Arthropoda; Malacostraca; Decapoda; Parastacidae.